RNAcentral lists this ribosomal RNA (1448 nucleotides) under uncultured bacterium. RNAcentral describes it as "bacterial SSU rRNA". It matches the Rfam family "Bacterial small subunit ribosomal RNA". The record is from RNAcentral.
AUUGAACGCUGGCGGCAUGCCUUACACAUGCAAGUCGAACGGUAACAGGUCCUCGGAUGCUGACGAGUGGCGAACGGGUGAGUAAUACAUCGGAACGUGCCCGAGAGUGGGGGAUAACGAAGCGAAAGCUUUGCUAAUACCGCAUACGAUCUCAGGAUGAAAGCAGGGGACCGCAAGGCCUUGCGCUCACGGAGCGGCCGAUGGCAGAUUAGGUAGUUGGUGGGAUAAAAGCUUACCAAGCCGACGAUCUGUAGCUGGUCUGAGAGGACGACCAGCCACACUGGGACUGAGACACGGCCCAGACUCCUACGGGAGGCAGCAGUGGGGAAUUUUGGACAAUGGGCGCAAGCCUGAUCCAGCCAUGCCGCGUGCAGGAUGAAGGCCUUCGGGUUGUAAACUGCUUUUGUACGGAACGAAAAGACUCUGGUUAAUACCUGGGGUCCAUGACGGUACCGUAAGAAUAAGCACCGGCUAACUACGUGCCAGCAGCCGCGGUAAUACGUAGGGUGCGAGCGUUAAUCGGAAUUACUGGGCGUAAAGCGUGCGCAGGCGGUUAUAUAAGACAGAUGUGAAAUCCCCGGGCUCAACCUGGGAACUGCAUUUGUGACUGUAUAGCUAGAGUACGGCAGAGGGGGAUGGAAUUCCGCGUGUAGCAGUGAAAUGCGUAGAUAUGCGGAGGAACCGAUGGCAAGGCAAUCCCCUGGGCCUGUACUGACGCUCAUGCACGAAAGCGUGGGGAGCAAACAGGAUUAGAUACCCUGGUAGUCCACGCCCUAAACGAUGUCAACUAGUUGUCGGGUCUUAAUUGACUUGGUAACGCAGCUAACGCGUGAAGUUGACCGCCUGGGGAGUACGGUCGCAAGAUUAAAACUCAAAGGAAUUGACGGGGACCCGCACAAGCGGUGGAUGAUGUGGAUUAAUUCGAUGCAACGCGAAAAACCUUACCUACCCUUGACAUGUACGGAAGCCUCAAGAGAUUGGGGUGUGCUCGAAAGAGAGUCGUAACACAGGUGCUGCAUGGCUGUCGUCAGCCCGUGUCGUGAGAUGUUGGGUUAAGUCCCGCAACGAGCGCAACCCUUGUCAUUAGUUGCUACGAAAGGGCACUCUAAUGAGACUGCCGGUGACAAACCGGAGGAAGGUGGGGGUGACGUCAAGUCCUCAUGGCCCUUAUGGGUAGGGCUUCACACGUCAUACAAUGGUACAUACAGAGGGCCGCCAACCCGCGAGGGGGAGCUAAUCCCAGAAAGUGUAUCGUAGUCCGGAUUGCAGUCUGCAACUCGACUGCAUGAAGUUGGAAUCGCUAGUAAUCGCGGAUCAGCAUGUCGCGGUGAAUACGUUCCCGGGUCUUGUACACACCGCCCGUCACACCAUGGGAGCGGGUUUUACCAGAAGUAGGUAGCUUAACCGCAAGGAGGGCGCUUACCACGGUAGGAUUCGUGACUGGGGUG